Molecule: ribosomal RNA, 492 nt
Filed under: uncultured bacterium
Lineage: Bacteria
Description: partial 16S ribosomal RNA
Rfam family: Bacterial small subunit ribosomal RNA
Source: RNAcentral
AGUGAACGCUGGCGGUAGGCCUAACACAUGCAAGUCGAACGGCAGCACAGUAAGAGCUUGCUCUUACGGGUGGCGAGUGGCGGACGGGUGAGGAAUACAUCGGAAUCUACUUUUUCGUGGGGGAUAACGUAGGGAAACUUACGCUAAUACCGCAUACGACCUACGGGUGAAAGCAGGGGAUCUUCGGACCUUGCGCGAUUGAAUGAGCCGAUGUCGGAUUAGCUAGUUGGCGGGGUAAAGGCCCACCAAGGCGACGAUCCGUAGCUGGUCUGAGAGGAUGAUCGGCCGCACUGGAACUGAGACACGGUCCAGACUCCUACGGGAGGCAGCAGUGGGGAAUAUUGGGCAAUGGGCGGAAGCCUGAUCCAGCCAUACCGCGUGGGUGAAGAAGGCCUUCGGGUUGUAAAGCCCUUUUGUUGGGAAAGAAAAGCAGCAGGUUAAUACCCCGCUGUUCUGACGGUACCCAAAGAAUAAGCACCGGCUAACUUCGUG